This 637-nucleotide ribosomal RNA is filed under the name uncultured Gammaproteobacteria bacterium. RNAcentral describes it as "bacterial SSU rRNA". It matches the Rfam family "Bacterial small subunit ribosomal RNA", at positions 8 to 636 of the family's 1533-position model. Lineage: Bacteria; Pseudomonadati; Pseudomonadota; Gammaproteobacteria. The record is from RNAcentral.
AGAGUUUGAUCAUGGCUCAGAUUGAACGCUAGCUGCAUGCUUAACACAUGCAAGUCGAACGGCAGCGCGAGGAGCUUGCUCCUUGGCGGCGAGUGGCGGACGGGUGAGUAACGCGUAGGAAUUUACCCAGUAGAGGGGGACAACUCGGGGAAACUCGAGCUAAUACCGCAUAAUCUCUUCGGAGGAAAGCAGGGGAUCUUCGGACCUUGCGCUAUUGGAUGAGCCUGCGUAGGAUUAGCUAGUUGGUGGGGUAAAGGCCUACCAAGGCGACGAUCCUUAGCUGGUCUGAGAGGAUGAUCAGCCACACUGGGACUGAGACACGGCCCAGACUCCUACGGGAGGCAGCAGUGGGGAAUAUUGGACAAUGGGGGCAACCCUGAUCCAGCAAUGCAGCGUGUGUGAAGAAGGUCUUCGGAUUGUAAAGCACUUUCAGUAGGGAGGAAAACCCGCAAGUUAAUACCUUGCGAUUUGACGUUACCUACAGAAGAAGCACUGGCUAACUCUGUGCCAGCAGCCGCGGUAAUACAGAGAGUGCAAGCGUUAAUCGGAAUUACUGGGCGUAAAGCGCGCGUAGGCGAGACGAUUAAGUCGGAUGUGAAAGCCCCGGGCUCAACCUGGGAACUGCAUCCGAUACUGG